GACGAACGCUGGCGGCGUGCUUAACACAUGCAAGUCGAACGCUGAAGCUUGGUGCUUGCUCUGGGUGGAUGAGUGGCGAACGGGUGAGUAAUAAGUGAGUAACCUGCCCUUGACUCUGGGAUAAGCCUGGGAAACUGGGUCUAAUACUGGAUACGACAUGUCACCGCAUGGUGGUGUGUGGAAAGGGUUUUACUGGUUUUGGAUGGGCUCACGGCCUAUCAGCUUGUUGGUGGGGUAAUGGCUCACCAAGGCGACGACGGGUAGCCGGCCUGAGAGGGUGACCGGACACACUGGGACUGAGACACGGCCCAGACUCCUACGGGAGGCAGCAGUGGGGAAUAUUGCACAAUGGGCGGAAGCCUGAUGCAGCGACGCCGCGUGAGGGAUGACGGCCUUCGGGUUGUAACCCUCUUUCAGCACGGAAGAAGCGAAAGUGACGGUACGUGCAGAAGAAGCGCCGGCUAACUACGUG
Molecule: ribosomal RNA, 472 nt
Filed under: uncultured bacterium
Lineage: Bacteria
Description: partial 16S ribosomal RNA
Rfam family: Bacterial small subunit ribosomal RNA
Source: RNAcentral